GAGUUUGAUCGUGGCUCAGGAUGAACGCUGGCGGCGUGCUUAACACAUGCAAGUCGAACGAAGCGCCUUAUUUGAUUUUCUUCGGAACUGAAGAUUUGGUGACUGAGUGGCGGACGGGUGAGUAACGCGUGGGUAACCUGCCCUGUACAGGGGGAUAACAAUCAGAAAUGACUGCUAAUACCGCAUAAGACCACAGCACCGCAUGGUGCAGGGGUAAAAACUCCGGUGGUACAGGAUGGACCCGCGUCUGAUUAGCUGGUUGGUGAGGUAACGGCUCACCAAGGCGACGAUCAGUAGCCGGCUUGAGAGAGUGAACGGCCACAUUGGGACUGAGACACGGCCCAAACUCCUACGGGAGGCAGCAGUGGGGAAUAUUGCACAAUGGGGGAAACCCUGAUGCAGCAACGCCGCGUGAGUGAAGAAGUAUUUCGGUAUGUAAAGCUCUAUCAGCAGGGAAGAAAGUGACGGUACCUGACUAAGAAGCCCCGGCUAACUACGUGCCAGCCG
This 507-nucleotide ribosomal RNA is filed under the name uncultured microorganism. RNAcentral describes it as "bacterial SSU rRNA". It matches the Rfam family "Bacterial small subunit ribosomal RNA", at positions 9 to 514 of the family's 1533-position model. The record is from RNAcentral.